This 440-nucleotide ribosomal RNA is filed under the name uncultured bacterium. RNAcentral describes it as "partial 16S ribosomal RNA". It matches the Rfam family "Bacterial small subunit ribosomal RNA", at positions 338 to 795 of the family's 1533-position model. The record is from RNAcentral.
CCUACGGGAGGCAGCAGUAGGGAAUAUUGCUCAAUGGGGGAAACCCUGAAGCAGCAACGCCGCGUGGAGGAUGAAGGUUUUCUGAUUGUAAACUCCUUUUGUUAGAGAAGAUAAUUACGGUAUCUAACGAAUAAGCCCCGGCCAACUCCGUUCCAGCAGCCGCGGUCAUACGGGGGGUGCAAGCGUUACUCGGAAUCACUGGGCGGAAAGAGCGCGGAGGCGGGAGAGGAAGUCAGAUGUGAAAUCCUAUGGCCUAACCAUAGAACUGCAUUUAAAACUGUUGUUCUAGAGUAUGGGAGAGGUAGGUGGAAUUCUUGGUGUAGGGGUAAAAUCCGUAGAGAUCAAGAGGAAUACUCAUUGCGAAGGCGACCUGCUAGAACAUAACUGACGCUGAGGCGCGAAAGCGUGGGGAGCAAACAGGAUUAGAUACCCUAGUAGUC